GUGGGAUGCAGGCCGGCAGAGAAGCUGGGGAGAGGGCGCGGGAAUCCUGUGUGACCAGUUAGCAGUGUACCAGAACUGGGUUCCGUCAUCCUCUGCAGUCGGGAAGUGUUUCCUGACAGUCUUGAUCCAAGACUGCGGAAUGAGGAGUCCAGGCUGGAGGCCGAUUCAGGCCCCCACCCUGGCAUCAGUCCCCUUUCCCCACCAAGGAUGGCUUCUGUCUCUCGAAGUUGGUGGAGUUUGGACUUUUUCUCUUUUUGCUUUGAGGAGGUGCUGUGUGUGAGCACUCGCUGGCCUGCAAAGGGAUCUGUGCAGAGCGCCAUGUGUUAGAGGAUGGGCGAAUGAGAGCUUGGGGAUACCCGAGGUGUGGUCCUUGCCCGCGUGACCGGUUGGAGGUCCAGGUGAGAAAUCAGGGUUGAAAACUUCAUGGAGGAUUCAUCAUUUCUGCCCUGAAUUGGAACCAAUUCUUCACUGACUUUUACUGUAUUAAAAGUAUUGUAAUUAACUAUGGUAUUUGUUUGGGUUAGACCUUUGUUAUGAUAGGUUUUACCAGAGCUUGUAAAAGACCAUGAUCUCCCCUUCCGGUAUAUGUGAGCAUUAAUAUUUUUAGUCCACAGAAUGGACUUUUAAAAGCUAGUAAAGUUGUUUCAUCUUCCUGGUGCCAGAGAAUAUGAGUCACAGUAUUAUACCAGGCAUUUAUAAAUUAUUUUCAUUCAUCCUACAUUAAUGAUUUUUCAAAAGCCGUUUCUUCAUCAGCUUGUCCACCUACUGUCAUGAAUUUUCCUAAAUAAGCAACUGAUGUGUUGUGUUUCUGGCAAAUGCUAUUUCAUACAAGGCAGUAUUGUGUUAGAACAGAAUUUUUGUUCUGAUUAUUGGAUUUGUCUUUUUAAUAAACAAAACUUUAAUCAAUACAGAAAUACUUCAAAAAGU
Molecule: non-coding RNA, 927 nt
Organism: Myodes glareolus (Bank vole)
Lineage: Eukaryota; Metazoa; Chordata; Mammalia; Rodentia; Cricetidae
Source: RefSeq, a predicted model, not a curated record